GGAGGGUGCCCCUUGCUUGGGGAGGCAAUCGGGAGGUGCUGAAGACUUUAAGACUGUCCAAGAAGCCAUCCCCAUCCACGAUGAGACAAGAAGGGGUUGGUCUCUCUGCAGGUUCACCACAUCUUAACUGAAGCUACACGGACUUCAAUAGUCAUCAUCCAACGCCGCUGCCUGCUUCCUGUCUUGAACUUUCCGUUUCCUCCCGCCAGGCUGGGAACUGAGCGCACGGCUGUGAGGGCCGCAGCUUGCAAAACGCAAAGCUCAGCAAGUCUGCACGGCUGGUGUCCAACAGAACAACAGCCCCACUGCCUUCUUUUUCCUAUUAGAGUGUAAUUGGCAUAUGAA
Ochotona princeps (American pika) is the source of this 345-nucleotide long non-coding RNA. RefSeq lists it as uncharacterized. Lineage: Eukaryota; Metazoa; Chordata; Mammalia; Lagomorpha; Ochotonidae. The transcript is spliced from 2 exons. The record is from RefSeq and is a predicted model, not a curated record.